GAUGAACGCUGACAGAAUGCUUAACACAUGCAAGUCAACUUGAAUUUGGGUUUUUAACUUAGGUUUGGGUGGCGGACGGGUGAGUAACGCGUAAAGAACUUGCCUCACAGCUAGGGACAACAUUUGGAAACGAAUGCUAAUACCUAAUAUUAUGAUAAUAGGGCAUCCUAUAAUUAUGAAAGCUAUAAGCGCUGUGAGAGAGCUUUGCGUCCCAUUAGCUAGUUGGAGAGGUAACGGCUCACCAAGGAGAUGAUGGGUAGCCGGCCUGAGAGGGUGAUCGGCCACAAGGGGACUGAGACACGGCCCUUACUCCUACGGGAGGCAGCAGUGGGGAAUAUUGGACAAUGGACCGAGAGUCUGAUCCAGCAAUUCUGUGUGCACGAUGAAGUUUUUCGGAAUGUAAAGUGCUUUCAGUUGGGAAGAAACAAAUGACGGUACCAACAGAAGAAGUGACGGCUAAAUACGUA
Molecule: ribosomal RNA, 467 nt
Filed under: uncultured bacterium
Lineage: Bacteria
Description: partial 16S ribosomal RNA
Rfam family: Bacterial small subunit ribosomal RNA
Source: RNAcentral